Molecule: ribosomal RNA, 490 nt
Filed under: uncultured bacterium
Lineage: Bacteria
Description: bacterial SSU rRNA
Rfam family: Bacterial small subunit ribosomal RNA
Source: RNAcentral
CGUGCUUAACACAUGCAAGUCGUGCGAGAAAGUCGGCUUCGGCCGGCGAGUAAAGCGGCGAACGGGUGAGUAACACGUGGGUAAUCUGCCUGAGAUGGGGGGAUAACUUGGGGGAAACCCGAGCUAAUACCGCAUACGUCUCCCGGGGGCUGCGGCUCCGGAGGGAAAGCUGGCCUCUGCGUGCAAGCUAGCGCUCUCAGAGGAGCCCGCGGCCGAUUAGCUUGAUGGUGGGGUAACGGCCCACCAUGGCGACGAUCGGUAGCCGGCCUGAGAGGGUGAUCGGCCACACUGGGACUGAGACACGGCCCAGACUCCUACGGGAGGCAGCAGUGGGGAAUAUUGGACAAUGGGCGAAAGCCUGAUCCAGCAACGCCGCGUGGAGGACGAAGGCCCUCGGGUCGUAAACUCCUGUCAGGUGGGACGAAAAGGCGUCGACCAAUAAUCGGCGUUGAUGACGGUACCGCCAGAGGAAGCCCCGGCUAACUCCGUG